AGUGAACGCUGGCGGUAGGCCUAACACAUGCAAGUCGAACGGCAGCACCGUAAGAGCUUGCUCUUACGGGUGGCGAGUGGCGGACGGGUGAGGAAUACAUCGGAAUCUACUUUUUCGUGGGGGAUAACGUAGGGAAACUUACGCUAAUACCGCACACGACCUACGGGUGAAAGCAGGGGAUCUUCGGACCUUGCGCGAUUGAAUGAGCCGAUGUCGGAUUAGCUAGUUGGCGGGGUAAAGGCCCACCAAGGCGACGAUCCGUAGCUGGUCUGAGAGGAUGAUCAGCCACACUGGAACUGAGACACGGUCCAGACUCCUACGGGAGGCAGCAGUGGGGAAUAUUGGACAAUGGGCGCAAGCCUGAUCCAGCCAUACCGCGUGGGUGAAGAAGGCCUUCGGGUUGUAAAGCCCUUUUGUUGGGAAAGAAAAGCAGCAGGUUAAUACCCCGCUGUUCUGACGGUACCCAAAGAAUAAGCACCGGCUAACUUCGUG
Molecule: ribosomal RNA, 492 nt
Filed under: uncultured bacterium
Lineage: Bacteria
Description: partial 16S ribosomal RNA
Rfam family: Bacterial small subunit ribosomal RNA
Source: RNAcentral